CCUACGGGAGGCAGCAGUGAGGAAUAUUGGUCAAUGGACGAGAGUCUGAACCAGCCAAGUAGCGUGAAGGAUGACUGCCCUAUGGGUUGUAAACUUCUUUUAUAUGGGAAUAAAAUGUUCCACGUGUGGGAUUUUGUAUGUACCAUAUGAAUAAGGAUCGGCUAACUCCGUGCCAGCAGCCGCGGUAAUACGGCGGAUCCGAGCGUUAUCCGGAUGUAUUGGGUGUAAAGGGAGCGUAGGUGGAUUGUUAAGUCAGUGGUGAAAGUUUGCGGCUCAACCGUAAAAUUGCAGUUGAAACUGGCAGUCUUGAGUACAGGAGAGGUAGGCGGAAUUCGUGGUGUAGCGGUGAAAUGCUUAGAUAUCACGAAGAACUCCGAUUGCGAAGGCAGCUCACUGGACUGCAACUGACACUGAGGCUCGAAAGUGUGGGUAUCAAACAGGAUUAGAUACCCUAGUAGUC
This 460-nucleotide ribosomal RNA is filed under the name uncultured bacterium. RNAcentral describes it as "partial 16S ribosomal RNA". It matches the Rfam family "Bacterial small subunit ribosomal RNA", at positions 338 to 795 of the family's 1533-position model. The record is from RNAcentral.